Long non-coding RNA from Pan troglodytes (chimpanzee), 2880 nucleotides. RefSeq lists it as uncharacterized. NCBI's taxonomy places the organism in Eukaryota, Metazoa, Chordata, Mammalia, Primates, Hominidae. The transcript is spliced from 3 exons. The record is from RefSeq and is a predicted model, not a curated record.
GCUGGAGGGGAGGGCGAGGAAGGCUUGGCGUGGGGACGCCCGUCGAGCCUCUCAGUGAGGAAUGAGAGGCCAGCUUCUCCUGCGGGGUAUGAAGGAGGAACUGUAUCUCCUAUAUAUAUUAAGUUUCAUUUAUAAAGACAUCAGAGAGCACCUGAGAAUGUUUCAAGGUCACCAAAAGCUUUCUGAAAAUGCCUUUCUGCAAAGAAGGUUUCCAGAGAUAGAAGAUAACUCAGGAAGCUUAGAAGAGGUCAGCCUGGGAAGACAGGAUUCUUUCUCCCCACCCGUGACUCUGCAGGAAGCAAUACCCUCCCCUCUGGGCAAGGUCGACCCUCCAAGUCUAGAUGAGAAGAGUUCCCUCUGUCUGCUCUUUCCUCUGCCUGAUGACCCAGAGGCUUUGCAGCUGUGAUCCUGGCAGCCCCUGGCCGCCUCAGGGAGCUGCAGAAUUCAAACCCUGGAAAUGGAGCUCUGCUUGCAGCUGCACCUGGGGCCUGACCUGCUUAGGACAGGCCUGUCUGGACCUAAGAGAACCCCACUGCCACCCACUCAGCUACUCCCUAACAGACUGCAGAGACCAAGUCUUUUUCAUUUAUUUAUAUCCAUUGAUUUCUCGAGUCAUUGAAACUCAAUAUUUGCUGAGCACCUACAAUGUGCCAGGCACUGUGAUAGGCACUGAAGAAAGGGCAAAGGACGAGCAGAUAAAUUUCCUACUUGCAGGGAACAACGUGGUAGUGAGUAAAAUGAGACAUUGCAAAUAAACACAUAAAUAUAUAAUAUGUCAACUGGCAAUAAUUGAUGCGAAGAAUGAUUAAGCAAAACAAGGAAAUGCAGAGACAGGGAAGGAGCAUCUAUCUGGUAUGAAGUAGUCAGAGAAGGCCUCUCUGGUCAGAUGACAUUUGGGCAGAACCUGGGGCCUGUCUCAGCACCACCUGUUCCUUCCUCGGCCACUUGCUCCCUGCAGCCACCACAAGCCCCUGUGGUUUUCCUGCCUGAGGCUCACCAGCCACAGGCCUAGAAUAUCUGGCUUCUCUCCCCACGUCCAAACUCAGCUGAAAUGCCAAACUGCAGGACCUUGUUUCCUGAGCAACUGCCAAUGGGUCUGAAUGAUGCAACUCGGAAAGGAAGAGGAUUUCAUUCCCCCUGAAUGGACUUUGCACCAGUGGGAGACAGGAAACAGGAGAUUGGAGGAUACUGGGCAGCUGAACUGCCUCACCCUUUCCCCCUGCCCUGUCUGGUGCACAAUUUCUCCACACAGCCUGCUGUGUGUGGCCAAGCCUGUGCGCUGACUGAGUGUUAUGGGUUGAACUAUGUUCCUCAGAAAGAUGUGUCGAAGUCCUAACCCCCAGUAACUGUGAAUGUGGCUUUAUAGUAUUUGGAAACAGGGUCUUUGCUGAUGCAAUCAAGUUAAGAUGAAGUCAUUAAGAGGGUGGGGGCCUAAUCCAAUCUCUUGUCCUUAGAAGGAGAAAGAGACACAUCAGGGGAAGAUGGUGAGGUGACAAUGGAGGCAGAGAUUGGAGCAAUGCAUCUAAAUGCUAGGCAACACCACAUAGAGCUGCAAACACCAAGGCUAGAAGAGGCAGGGAAGGAGCCUUCCCCUACAGGUUUCAGAGGGAGCAUGGCCUCACCAUACCUUUACUUCAGACUUCUAGCAUCCAGAACUGUGACACAACACAUUUCUCUUGUUCUGAGUGACAACAGUGUGUGGUGUGUUAUUACAGCUGCUCUAGAAACUAACAUAUCGAGCAGCCAGCUGUGUGGGAUUGUACCUCCCAAGUAACCCUCUAAGACUUAACCUUUGCCCAGGGCUCUGUCUCUAGAGAACUGUGACAAUGAUAGGUAGACCUGAAUAAAGCGAAGGAUGAUAUCUGCAGGGAUAUUUGAGGACAGGGAGUGCUGACAAGGGAGGAGCCAGUGCAAAGGCCCCGAGGUGGCAGUAUGCUUGGUGUGUUGGAGGAGGAGGAAGGUGGCCAGGCUGUUUGGGGAGUGAAUAAGGGGAAGAGUGCUCAGAGGAGAAGUCAGAGAAGGGGCCAAAGACAUGUUCUCUAGGGCCAGAAAGGCCUUUGGAUCUUUUCGACAUUAUCUUCUUGACAUGUAAUUUAUAUAGUAGUAAAAUGAACAAAAUGGGUGACUAUUUUGUGAAUUUUUUAGAUACAUAAAACCAUGUGAUCACUAUCCAGAUCAAAUGUUGAACAUUUCCAUCACCCCAGAGAGUUCACUCCUGCUACCUUCCAGUCAAUACAACUUACCAAUCCUGAGGCAAUCAGUACUCUCUCUUUUAUCAUCAUAAAUUUGUUUUAACCUGUUCCUUAAUGGCAUAUAAAUGAAACUACAUAGCAUGCUUUUGCUCAAAAUAGUGCUUGUGAGGUUCAUCCAGGUUGCUGUAUGUAUACUUCAAUUAUUAUUAUUGCUGAGUAGUAUUCCAUUGCCUGGAUAUAUCACAAAUUAUUUAUCCAUUAUUCUGCUGAAUAUUUGAGUUAUUUGCAGUUUAGGCCUAUAAUAAAUGAAGCCGUUAGGAACAUUUAUGUGUUCCUCUUAUUUUGGUUGUAUGCAAUCAUUUCUCUUGGUAUAAACCUAGCAGUGUAUUUUCUGGGUCAACUGGCUUAGGUUUAGGUUAACUGUAUUCGUUUAUACCAUUUUAUACUCCCGUCAGCAAUAUAUGAGUUCCAGGUAUUCUGCAUCCUCACCAACACUUGGAGUCUUUCUGGUAGGUGUGUAGUGGCAUUGCAUUGUGCUUUCAAUAUGCCUUUUUCUGCUGACUAAUGCACUCCUUUUUAUAUGCCUAUUAUUCACAUAUCUCCUUUUAUGAAGUAGGUAUUCAAGUCUUUUGUUCACAUUUUAUGUUUUUGUUAUGGCCACAUCUCACUUCCAGAAUCUGUAUUGGUU